RNAcentral lists this ribosomal RNA (634 nucleotides) under uncultured bacterium. Its description in RNAcentral is "bacterial SSU rRNA". It matches the Rfam family "Bacterial small subunit ribosomal RNA", at positions 64 to 716 of the family's 1533-position model. The record is from RNAcentral.
GAGCGGAAGGCCCUUCGGGGUACUCGAGCGGCGAACGGGUGAGUAACACGUGAGUAAUCUGCCCCAGGCUCUGGGAUAGCCACCGGAAACGGUGAUUAAUACCGGAUACGACAACCGAUUGCAUGAUCUGGUUGUGGAAAGUUUUUCGGCCUGGGAUGUGCUCGCGGCCUAUCAGCUUGUUGGUGAGGUAAUGGCUCACCAAGGCUUCGACGGGUAGCCGGCCUGAGAGGGUGACCGGCCACACUGGGACUGAGACACGGCCCAGACUCCUACGGGAGGCAGCAGUGGGGAAUAUUGGACAAUGGGCGGAAGCCUGAUCCAGCAACGCCGCGUGAGGGAUGACGGCCUUCGGGUUGUAAACCUCUUUCAGCACAGACGAAGCGCAAGUGACGGUAUGUGCAGAAGAAGGACCGGCCAACUACGUGCCAGCAGCCGCGGUAAUACGUAGGGUCCGAGCGUUGUCCGGAAUUAUUGGGCGUAAAGGGCUCGUAGGCGGUCUGUCGCGUCGGGAGUGAAAACCAGGUGCUUAACACCUGGCCUGCUUUCGAUACGGGCAGACUAGAGGUACUCAGGGGAGAAUGGAAUUCCUGGUGUAGCGGUGAAAUGCGCAGAUAUCAGGAGGAACACCGGUGGC